Labrus bergylta (ballan wrasse) is the source of this 970-nucleotide non-coding RNA. Lineage: Eukaryota; Metazoa; Chordata; Actinopteri; Labriformes; Labridae. The record is from RefSeq and is a predicted model, not a curated record.
UAACAGAGAAUUGUUUCACUUCUCCAACUUUCAACUUUCAGUACCAAAUCUACAUAUUGCACCUUUAAGACUUUAAUACCUGUUGUAUCAAAAUCUGUUUCAAACAGUAAGGAAGUUUUCCAGCUGUGUCGUAUUUUAUGACUUUUAAGGGCGUUUUCACAUCAGGCAUGAUUGUUUUGUACAGUACCCGAGCAGGAUUAUCCUCCCCUCCCCUCUCCCCCGAUGGUCCCCACAUUAGUAACAUUGUUCUGUGUAUCGCGGUCCACUUCCUUGAGCACGGUUGUGUUCACAUCUCACACGGACCAAGCGGACUCGGGCACGGUAGCUGAGUACAGUACGAGUACGCCUCAUGUGAAACGUCUCCUGAAAACAGCUCUGAGCUCGCUGAGAACUGAAUCCAGAGCCUACAUGAUGAACACACCACCCUGCACCCUGUGAGUUUCUCUCUACGGGACGUGGACCAUUCUCACUGUUAAAAACGCCGUUUUAAACGCCUUGUUAAAGAAGCUUCUUUGUUAAACUUGUGUGAGGUUGAAAUCAGUGUAAAUAUGUAGCUUUGUAGAGCUGAUCUCUCCAAACACUGAUGUGUUAAAUGAUUGUUCGGUUUGACCGUCUUCAUCUCUGCAGGUUUCUUGAAACAUUUUGCUCAGGAACAAUCAGAGUGAAGGUCGUCUGUGUGUGUUACUGGAGUCCACCUCUCUCACACUGCAGUCACCGUAACUCUCUGCAAGAUGAGCCAGAAUAAAAACAGACGAGUGGAGUUUCAUCUCAGUGGUGAACUGUCUUAAAUUUGUACCAAACACAGAUAAUAAUUCAAUCUGGUUCCUUCCACGUCUUUAAAAGGCCUCCCUAUGAUCACACACGUGAAAUAAAAUCAUCAGUUCAAGAUUCAUCUUCCAGUUGUGUAAAUAGUCUGCUUGUACAUUUUGUAUACAUUUUGUUUUUAUUACUAACAAACCAAAGCAAAUAA